This 732-nucleotide ribosomal RNA is filed under the name uncultured Escherichia sp. RNAcentral's name for it is "bacterial SSU rRNA". It matches the Rfam family "Bacterial small subunit ribosomal RNA", at positions 61 to 782 of the family's 1533-position model. The record is from RNAcentral. Lineage: Bacteria; Pseudomonadati; Pseudomonadota; Gammaproteobacteria; Enterobacterales; Enterobacteriaceae.
GUCGAACGGUAACAGGAAACAGCUUGCUGUUUCGCUGACGAGUGGCGGACGGGUGAGUAAUGUCUGGGAAACUGCCUGAUGGAGGGGGAUAACUACUGGAAACGGUAGCUAAUACCGCAUAACGUCGCAAGACCAAAGAGGGGGACCUUCGGGCCUCUUGCCAUCGGAUGUGCCCAGAUGGGAUUAGCUAGUAGGUGGGGUAACGGCUCACCUAGGCGACGAUCCCUAGCUGGUCUGAGAGGAUGACCAGCCACACUGGAACUGAGACACGGUCCAGACUCCUACGGGAGGCAGCAGUGGGGAAUAUUGCACAAUGGGCGCAAGCCUGAUGCAGCCAUGCCGCGUGUAUGAAGAAGGCCUUCGGGUUGUAAAGUACUUUCAGCGGGGAUGAAGGGAGUAAAGUUAAUACCUUUGCUCAUUGACGUUACCCGCAGAAGAAGCACCGGCUAACUCCGUGCCAGCAGCCGCGGUAAUACAGAGGGUGCAAGCGUUAAUCGGAAUUACUGGGCGUAAAGCGCACGCAGGCGGUUUGUUAAGUCAGAUGUGAAAUCCCCGGGCUCAACCUGGGAACUGCAUCUGAUACUGGCAAGCUUGAGUCUCGUAGAGGGGGGUAGAAUUCCAGGUGUAGCGGUGAAAUGCGUAGAGAUCUGGAGGAAUACCGGUGGCGAAGGCGGCCCCCUGGACGAAGACUGACGCUCAGGUGCGAAAGCGUGGGGAGCAAACAGGAUUAGA